Molecule: transfer RNA, 67 nt
Filed under: Takydromus smaragdinus
Lineage: Eukaryota; Metazoa; Chordata; Lepidosauria; Squamata; Lacertidae
Description: tRNA-Val
Rfam family: tRNA
About the family: Transfer RNA (tRNA) molecules are approximately 80 nucleotides in length. Their secondary structure includes four short double-helical elements and three loops (D, anti-codon, and T loops). Further hydrogen bonds mediate the characteristic L-shaped molecular structure. tRNAs have two regions of fundamental functional importance: the anti-codon, which is responsible for specific mRNA codon recognition, and the 3' end, to which the tRNAs corresponding amino acid is attached (by aminoacyl-tRNA synthetases). tRNAs cope with the degeneracy of the genetic code in two manners: having more than one tRNA (with a specific anti-codon) for a particular amino acid; and 'wobble' base-pairing, i.e. permitting non-standard base-pairing at the 3rd anti-codon position.
Source: RNAcentral
CAAAAAAUAGCUUAUUAAAGCACCUAGCUUACAACUAGGAGAUGUCAACUCACUAAGACUUUUUUGU